This is an RNA transcript of Pungitius pungitius (ninespine stickleback), 2934 nucleotides long. It is a transcript of the gene named probable G-protein coupled receptor 174, with no coding region annotated. The record is from RefSeq and is a predicted model, not a curated record. The transcript has 5 exons. NCBI's taxonomy places the organism in Eukaryota, Metazoa, Chordata, Actinopteri, Perciformes, Gasterosteidae.
GCUCUGCUCAAGAAUCGGCUCAUACCGGACGUCACCAACUGAUGCAAAGCCAGUCGAACAGAAACCACAAUCACUGGUAUGGUUUUUAUUGCAGACUCGCUCACAAGCACAAGCUGAUAAGUCUCGAGUCUGCUCGAGAAAGACAGAGGAGGUUUGCUGUUGGGGAGGAGUGUUUGUGCGUGUGCGUCAGUCUGCUGUGGAGCUGCAGGAGCAUGUGGUCGCUGGUGGCCACUCCAGCAUCUGAUUUCUCGCCCCUGUCCACGCUGAUUGUUUAGGGGAUGAUGGACAAGGUGAUUCAGUGUGUGAGUGACGAGAUGAGUUUGACUUAGGCCACGAGGGUCCAGUGUGAGAGCGGAAAUGUCCGGAGCAUCGGAGGAGUCGCUGCUCAACUCGUCCCUCCUCAACUCGUCUUUAGAAUGUGGCCACAACAUGAACAGUUGGGAGCAGCGCAUGGACAAGAUGUACACAUACUUCUACUUUCUGCUCUUCAUGCCCGGGCUGCUGCUUAACACCACGGCCCUCUGGGUCCUCUGCAGACACAUUAGUAAGAAGAGCAAGGCGGUGAUCUUCAUGAUCAACCUGGCUGUAGCCGACCUGGCCCACAUCCUCUCUCUGCCCCUGAGGAUCUAUUAUUACUUCACACACACCUGGCCGUUCGGGCGAGGCGUCUGCUUGUUCUGCUUCUACCUCAAAUACCUCAACAUGUACGCCGCCAUAGUGUUCCUGGUGUGUAUCAGCGCGCAGAGGUGCAUCUUCCUGCUUCACCCAUUCUGCGCACGACGGUGGAGGCGGCGCUACGACCUGGCAAUCAGCAUCAUCGUGUGGGGGGUGGUCAGCGUGGGCUGCUCGCCUUUCAUCCUGAUGCGCAGCAGCAGUUCCACGAGUCCCGGUGUGGUCGGACAGGCGAUCUACAACGCGUCCUAUCACCUGGGUGCCUUCUCCACCCAGCAUCCCUCGGGUCACGUCGAGCUUUACGCGCCAAAUUCGAGUGUGAGCCCCGUCACGGUCUCCCCUCCUGGCUGUUUUAAGGACCUGCCCAUGCGUCGCCUGCCAGUGUCUCUGGCGGUCACCAUGAUGGUCCUGGCUGAGCUGUUUGGUUUCCUCAUCCCUUUGGCCUGCAUCAGUUACAGCUCCAUCCGCAUCGCACGCUCUCUCGGCUCAACUCGGGGGCGGGAUGAGCCCGACCCCUCAACGCGCAGCCGUCUCCAGUCGGUCAGCAGCAGCAGCAGUCCGACGGACAGGUUCCCGGAGAGGCGGACGGACGCCGAGAAGCGACGCGCUCUGCGAAUGGUGCUCAGCUGCUCUGCCCUCUUCCUGAUCUGCUUCGCCCCCUACCACAUCAACUUCCUGCUCUACCUGUUGGUGUCGCAGAACAUCGUGUCCCACUGCGCAACCGAUCUGGCAGUGCGUCGGUUCCACCCGCUGUCCCUGUGCCUGGCCAGCCUGAGCUGCUGCCUCAACCCUCUGCUCUAUUACUUCCUAAAUGCCGAGUUCAGGCUGCACCUCACCAGGCGCACCUCCUCCUUCACCGCGGCGCUCCUCUCCUCCCCGAUCAGCUCCCCGACCGAGCGACCCGUGCCGGCCAGACUGAUGAGCAUGGAGAGCACCUGCUCGGACAGGGAGGACCGCGGCUCGUCACCCAAGGUUCUCUGCUCCAAAGGUGCAUUUGUUUUCCCCCCAACAAAUGACACAAAUGAAGCAUGAUACAAUGAGAUUGGGGGGGGGGGGGGGGGGGAACAACUGACGAGAUCUCAAGUGGGACAGCGAAGAGCUUUGGCCUCAAUUUGCAGAGUCUCCCACACCCGUGCUGAUGACGUCCAUUAGGUGGGAUGGGUGUAUAUGUGUGUAUGUAUAUAAGCUGCAGCCUGUUGCUUGCGUUUAGGAGACAGGCAACAAACUUGAGAUAAGCUAUAAGUCAUGAUUGUGUAAUGCAAAUGAUGUUAAUGUGUGAAUUAAAGCGCUGGUGCCGUGAUGUUUGUGCAGCUUGAUAACGACGCUCCGUUGCGAAAACAGGUGUUGACUCAUCUCGGCUCCACUUCCUUUAGUGACAAGUGCUGAAGAGAGUUAGUGGCUGUUGUGGUACUUUGACAAACCGUUAACUGUAAUGCCUGAGAGUGUCUGUUACAUCUACUGACCCCCUCCCCCUUUCAGCCAGAUGUACGCAGACACCAGUUGUCUUUAUUCACCCACUUUGGAUCCCCUGGCUGCCGUGAUCUUGUAAUGCCAUCUGCUAGUUAGUUACUGAAAGUACUCUGAAUAAGAAAGAAAGAAGGAAGCGGCCUCCCCCCGCUAAUAAAUAAGAAUUCCGAUUUCUACUUUCACACUUUAUUCUCACACUUGCGACAUUACACGUUCAUCAUUGCGGGCUCACAAGGGGAGGAAGGGGGUUACUAUGAUAGAAGAAGUCAUGCUGUCAAACAUUUUUUUAAACCACACCCUCCCCCAACCUCACAGGAAGCCCCUGUGUCUGCCGGAGCCCUCAGUACAGCAGAGACAGAGACGGAGAAAAUCCGAAAGACAUACAAAUAGAAGGCUGUGAGGAAUUAACAAAGACUAUUACUUCUGAUAAGAGAAUAGAAACUGGAUAGGAAGCGAGAGUGCGGGACAAGGCAAGUGAGGCGUGUUAGCGGAGGACGAUGGGGAGGAUGGGGGUGGCACGUGUCGUCGACUGAUGCUUCACCCUCCGGUAUUCUGACGCAGCAUCAAUCUCGGAGAAAGAGGAUACAACGCUGUACGGACUGAACAAUGGUUUGUAGCGUCGAAGGUUCAUCAGCACCGGGCGGGCACUUCGACUUCACUCACUGAGCUGCUCGCCGCAAUGGACAGACCGGACGCUCAGACACACCCGUCGGGCAAACCUUGAGCGGCUUUUGCCGAUACCAGCAUCCUCCUGUCGGGUUCACGGGGCGGCUCGUCUGUACACAAACAAACCGC